AUUGAACGCUGGCGGCAUGCCUUACACAUGCAAGUCGAACGGCAGCAUGGAGAGCUUGCUCUCUGAUGGCGAGUGGCGAACGGGUGAGUAAUGCAUCGGAACGUACCGUGUAAUGGGGGAUAACGUAGCGAAAGUUACGCUAAUACCGCAUACGACCUGAGGGUGAAAGCAGGGGAUCGCAAGACCUUGCGUUAUACGAGCGGCCGAUGUCAGAUUAGCUAGUUGGUGGGGUAAAGGCUCACCAAGGCGACGAUCUGUAGCGGGUCUGAGAGGAUGAUCCGCCACACUGGGACUGAGACACGGCCCAGACUCCUACGGGAGGCAGCAGUGGGGAAUUUUGGACAAUGGGGGCAACCCUGAUCCAGCCAUGCCGCGUGAGUGAAGAAGGCCUUCGGGUUGUAAAGCUCUUUCGGCCGGGAAGAAAUCGCACAGGCUAAUACUCUGUGUGGAUGACGGUACCGGCAUAAGAAGCAUCGGCUAACUACGUGCCAGCAGCCGCGGUAA
RNAcentral lists this ribosomal RNA (504 nucleotides) under uncultured bacterium. RNAcentral describes it as "partial 16S ribosomal RNA". It matches the Rfam family "Bacterial small subunit ribosomal RNA", at positions 30 to 523 of the family's 1533-position model. The record is from RNAcentral.